AUAAUCAUUAGUCUUUUAAUUGAAGGCUGGAAUGAAUGGUUGGACAAAAAAUAAGCUGUCCGCAGUUAUAAUUAUUGAAUUUAACUUUUAAGUGAAAAGGCUUAAAUAGUCUAAGGGGUCGAUAAGACCCUAUAAAGCUUUACGAUUGUUUAUUAAAUCAAAAAUUGUAAGUAUAAAUUUUAUUUAAUAGACAUUUGUUUCGUUGGGGCGACGAGAAUAAAAUUUAGUAACUGUUCUUUUAGAGUAUAACAAUUAUAAUUGAAGGAAAAUUGAUCCCUUAUUAAGGAUUAAAAAUUUAAGUUACCUUAGGGAUAACAGCGUAAUCUUUUUUGAGAGUCCAUAUCGACAAAAAGGGUU
This 357-nucleotide ribosomal RNA is filed under the name Gennadas sp. AV-2004. RNAcentral describes it as "partial 16S ribosomal RNA". The record is from RNAcentral. Lineage: Eukaryota; Metazoa; Arthropoda; Malacostraca; Decapoda; Benthesicymidae.